Molecule: transfer RNA, 63 nt
Filed under: Penenirmus auritus
Lineage: Eukaryota; Metazoa; Arthropoda; Insecta; Psocodea; Philopteridae
Description: tRNA-Leu
Source: RNAcentral
UUCACCAUGACAGAUUAGUGUGUUCGGCUUAAAAUCGGAAAAUGGUCAAAAGACCUGGUGAAG